UUAAGCGACUAAGCGUACACGGUGGAUGCCCUGGCAGUCAGAGGCGAUGAAGGACGUGCUAAUCUGCGAAAAGCGUCGGUAAGGUGAUAUGAACCGUUAUAGCCGGCGAUGUCCGAAUGGGGAAACCCAGUGUGAUUCGUCACACUAUCGUUAACUGAAUACAUAGGUUAACGAGGCGAACCGGGGGAACUGAAACAUCUAAGUACCCCGAGGAAAAGAAAUCAACCGAGAUUCCCCCAGUAGCGGCGAGCGAACGGGGAGCAGCCCAGAGUCUGAAUCAGCUUGUGUGUUAGUGGAACGGUCUGGAAAGUCCGACGGUACAGGGUGAUAGUCCCGUACACCAAAAUGCACAGGCUGUGAACUCGAAGAGUAGGGCGGGACACGUGGUAUCCUGUCUGAAUAUGGGGGGACCAUCCUCCAAGGCUAAAUACUCCUGACUGACCGAUAGUGAACCAGUACCGUGAGGGAAAGGCGAAAAGAACCCCGGCGAGGGGAGUGAAAAAGAACCUGAAACCGUGUACGUACAAGCAGUGGGAGCACCUUCGGGUGUGACUGCGUACCUUUUGUAUAAUGGGUCAGCGACUUAUAUUCUGUAGCAAGGUUAACCGUAUAGGGGAGCCGCAGGGAAACCGAGUCUUAACUGGGCGUUAAGUUGCAGGGUAUAGACCCGAAACCCGGUGAUCUAGCCAUGGGCAGGUUGAAGGUUGGGUAACACUAACUGGAGGACCGAACCGACUAAUGUUGAAAAAUUAGCGGAUGACUUGUGGCUGGGGGUGAAAGGCCAAUCAAACCGGGAGAUAGCUGGUUCUCCCCGAAAGCUAUUUAGGUAGCGCCUCGUGAAUUCAUCUUCGGGGGUAGAGCACUGUUUCGGCUAGGGGGUCAUCCCGACUUACCAACCCGAUGCAAACUACGAAUACCGAAGAAUGUUAUCACGGGAGACACACGGCGGGUGCUAACGUCCGUCGUGAAGAGGGAAACAACCCAGACCGCCAGCUAAGGUCCCAAAGUCAUGGUUAAGUGGGAAACGAUGUGGGAAGGCACAGACAGCCAGGAUGUUGGCUUAGAAGCAGCCAUCAUUUAAAGAAAGCGUAAUAGCUCACUGGUCGAGUCGGCCUGCGCGGAAGAUGUAACGGGGCUAAACCAUGCACCGAAGCUGCGGCAGCGACACUAUGUGUUGUUGGGUAGGGGAGCGUUCUGUAAGCCUGCGAAGGUGACCUGUGAGGGUUGCUGGAGGUAUCAGAAGUGCGAAUGCUGACAUAAGUAACGAUAAAGCGGGUGAAAAGCCCGCUCGCCGGAAGACCAAGGGUUCCUGUCCAACGUUAAUCGGGGCAGGGUGAGUCGACCCCUAAGGCGAGGCCGAAAGGCGUAGUCGAUGGGAAACAGGUUAAUAUUCCUGUACUUGGUGUUACUGCGAAGGGGGGACGGAGAAGGCUAUGUUAGCCGGGCGACGGUUGUCCCGGUUUAAGCAUGUAGGCUGGUUAUCCAGGCAAAUCCGGAUAAUCAAGGCUGAGGUGUGAUGACGAGGCACUACGGUGCUGAAGUAACAAAUGCCCUGCUUCCAGGAAAAGCCUCUAAGCAUCAGGUAACAUCAAAUCGUACCCCAAACCGACACAGGUGGUCAGGUAGAGAAUACCAAGGCGCUUGAGAGAACUCGGGUGAAGGAACUAGGCAAAAUGGUGCCGUAACUUCGGGAGAAGGCACGCUGGUGUGUAGGUGAAGUCCCUGCGGAUGGAGCUGAGACCAGUCGAAGAUACCAGCUGGCUGCAACUGUUUAUUAAAAACACAGCACUGUGCAAACACGAAAGUGGACGUAUACGGUGUGACGCCUGCCCGGUGCCGGAAGGUUAAUUGAUGGGGUUAUCCGUAAGGAGAAGCUCUUGAUCGAAGCCCCGGUAAACGGCGGCCGUAACUAUAACGGUCCUAAGGUAGCGAAAUUCCUUGUCGGGUAAGUUCCGACCUGCACGAAUGGCGUAAUGAUGGCCAGGCUGUCUCCACCCGAGACUCAGUGAAAUUGAACUCGCUGUGAAGAUGCAGUGUACCCGCGGCAAGACGGAAAGACCCCGUGAACCUUUACUAUAGCUUGACACUGAACAUUGAGCCUUGAUGUGUAGGAUAGGUGGGAGGCUUUGAAGCGUGGACGCCAGUCUGCGUGGAGCCAACCUUGAAAUACCACCCUUUAAUGUUUGAUGUUCUAACGUUGGCCCCUGACCGGGGUUGCGGACAGUGUCUGGUGGGUAGUUUGACUGGGGCGGUCUCCUCCCAAAGCGUAACGGAGGAGCACGAAGGUUAGCUAAUCCUGGUCGGACAUCAGGAGGUUAGUGCAAUGGCAUAAGCUAGCUUGACUGCGAGCGUGACGGCGCGAGCAGGUGCGAAAGCAGGUCAUAGUGAUCCGGUGGUUCUGAAUGGAAGGGCCAUCGCUCAACGGAUAAAAGGUACUCCGGGGAUAACAGGCUGAUACCGCCCAAGAGUUCAUAUCGACGGCGGUGUUUGGCACCUCGAUGUCGGCUCAUCACAUCCUGGGGCUGAAGUAGGUCCCAAGGGUAUGGCUGUUCGCCAUUUAAAGUGGUACGCGAGCUGGGUUUAGAACGUCGUGAGACAGUUCGGUCCCUAUCUGCCGUGGGCGCUGGAGAAUUGAGGGGGGCUGCUCCUAGUACGAGAGGACCGGAGUGGACGCAUCACUGGUGUUCGGGUUGUCAUGCCAAUGGCACUGCCCGGUAGCUAAAUGCGGAAGAGAUAAGUGCUGAAAGCAUCUAAGCACGAAACUUGCCCCGAGAUGAGUUCUCCCUGAGACUUUAAGUCUCCUGAAGGAACGUUGAAGACGACGACGUUGAUAGGCCGGGUGUGUAAGCGCAGCGAUGCGUUGAGCUAACCGGUACUAAUGAACCGUGAGGCUUAACCU
RNAcentral lists this ribosomal RNA (2899 nucleotides) under Klebsiella pneumoniae. RNAcentral's name for it is "bacterial LSU rRNA". It matches the Rfam family "Bacterial large subunit ribosomal RNA". The record is from RNAcentral. Lineage: Bacteria; Pseudomonadati; Pseudomonadota; Gammaproteobacteria; Enterobacterales; Enterobacteriaceae.